RNAcentral lists this ribosomal RNA (253 nucleotides) under uncultured bacterium. RNAcentral's name for it is "partial 16S ribosomal RNA". It matches the Rfam family "Bacterial small subunit ribosomal RNA", at positions 524 to 776 of the family's 1533-position model. The record is from RNAcentral.
UACGAAGGGGGCUAGCGUUGCUCGGAAUCACUGGGCAUAAAGCGCACGUAGGCGGAUUGCUAAGUCAGGGGUGAAAUCCUGGAGCUCAACUCCAGAACUGCCUUUGAUACUGGUGAUCUCGAGUCCGGGAGAGGUGAGUGGAACUGCGAGUGUAGAGGUGAAAUUCGUAGAUAUUCGCAAGAACACCAGUGGCGAAGGCGGCUCACUGGCCCGGUACUGACGCUGAGGUGCGAAAGCGUGGGGAGCAAACGGG